Molecule: long non-coding RNA, 637 nt
Organism: Cyprinus carpio (common carp)
Lineage: Eukaryota; Metazoa; Chordata; Actinopteri; Cypriniformes; Cyprinidae
Exons: 3
Source: RefSeq, a predicted model, not a curated record
UGUUCUCAGGUGAAUCUUGAUUUUCACUAAUGAAGAGGUCUGUGGCUGAUGCAGACAGGUUCCCUCUUCAUCUGACCUGCAGAUUCAUUAAUGCUCAGGACCUGAAUGUCAGAACAUCACACACAGAGACGGCAGAAGCUCAGCCACCGCCACCGCCAGAUCAGCAGAAAAACACAAGCUGAUGUUCUGGUGGUGUUCAGUGAUGUCUGGCGUCAGUUCUGAAUGAUUGAUCAGGUUCUGCUGGUACUGAAGCUUCUGUUCACCUGCAUCAGUGAUGAGGGCCGUGGCGCAGCAGCAGUGCAGCAAAGGUCUGCUCCUGAUGUUCAUGUUCAGAAGCGUGAGCACGAGCCAUGUCCACACGUACUGGGGCACGUUCCCGUGAAAGAGUGCCACGAUCUGACCUGAGUGCACGACCUGAGUACAUUCAGCACUCUGUUACUGAGCCGGUCAGCACAUGGCACCUCGACACACAGGCCUCUGGAGUUUCUGACCGGCUCGUCGUGCUCCGUGUCGUACUGAAUGAUGGCGUAGGGGAACAGUUUCUGUGCGACGAGAGAAAAACACACUGAUAAUCAGAGUUUUCAGCGGAAGGACAGCGAGAGUCACGUGAUUCCAGUCCUACAGCCUUACUUUGUGC